Molecule: ribosomal RNA, 254 nt
Filed under: uncultured bacterium
Lineage: Bacteria
Description: partial 16S ribosomal RNA
Rfam family: Bacterial small subunit ribosomal RNA
Source: RNAcentral
UACGUAGGGGGCGAGCGUUGUCCGGAUUUAUUGGGCGUAAAGAGCUCGUAGGCGGUUUGGUAAGUUGGAUGUGAAAUCUCCAGGCUCAACUUGGAGGGGUCAUUCGAUACUGCCAUGACUAGAGUUCGGUAGGGGAGUGUGGAAUUUCUGGUGGAGCGGUGAAAUGCGCAGAUAUCAGGAGGAACACCCGUAGCGAAGGCAGCACUCUGGGCCGGAACUGACGCUGAGGAGCGAAAGCGUGGGGAGCGAACAGG